GAUGAACGCUGGCGGCGUGCCUAAUACAUGCAAGUCGAGCGAACAGACGAGGAGCUUGCUCCUCUGACGUUAGCGGCGGACGGGUGAGUAACACGUGGAUAACCUACCUAUAAGACUGGGAUAACUUCGGGAAACCGGAGCUAAUACCGGAUAAUAUAUUGAGCUGCAUGGUUCAAUAGUGAAAUACGGUUUUGCUGUCACUUAUAGCUGGAUCCGCGCCGGAUUAGCUAGUUGGUAAGGUAACGGCUUACCAAGGCAACGAUGCGUAGCCGACCUGAGAGGGUGAUCGGCCACACUGGAACUGAGACACGGUCCAGACUCCUACGGGAGGCAGCAGUAGGGAAUCUUCCGCAAUGGGCGAAAGCCUGACGGAGCAACGCCGCGUGAGUGAUGAAGGUCUUCGGAUCGUAAAACUCUGUUAUUAGGGAAGAACAAAUGUGUAAGUAACUAUGCACGUCUUGACGGUACCUAAUCAGAAAGCCACGGCUAACUACGUG
This 497-nucleotide ribosomal RNA is filed under the name uncultured bacterium. RNAcentral's name for it is "partial 16S ribosomal RNA". It matches the Rfam family "Bacterial small subunit ribosomal RNA", at positions 28 to 507 of the family's 1533-position model. The record is from RNAcentral.